RNAcentral lists this ribosomal RNA (253 nucleotides) under uncultured bacterium. RNAcentral describes it as "partial 16S ribosomal RNA". It matches the Rfam family "Bacterial small subunit ribosomal RNA", at positions 524 to 776 of the family's 1533-position model. The record is from RNAcentral.
UACGUAGGGUGCGAGCGUUAAUCGGAAUUACUGGGCGUAAAGCGUGCGCAGGCGGCGCGUUAAGACAGGUGUGAAAGCCCCGAGCUUAACUUGGGAAUUGCGCUUGUGACUGGCGUGCUGGAGUGUGGCAGAGGAAGGUGGAAUUCCAGGUGUAGCGGUGAAAUGCGUAGAGAUCUGGAGGAACACCGAUGGCGAAGGCAGCCUUCUGGGCCAACACUGACGCUCAUGCACGAAAGCGUGGGGAGCAAACAGG